AUCAGGCUUGAGGCAUGGGCAGAAACAGCAUAAUGUAAGUGAUGAAUCGUUUUGCAGAAUUCGAUCUAACUAAUUUCAUUUAAUUCAGUGGAUUUCCCCAUUUCGAUUAAAUUUUCUAGAAAAACCCAGUCAAUCAAUCAAUCAAUCAAGCAGCUGCCCGCAUACCCCGCCCUCAUAGUCAGAAAACAAAAUGGCUCUCCAGAAAGUGACAAAUUUUAUCUCGCAUUGGUACUUGCAGUAUAUACUCGUUACAGCGUUGUACAUGUUGGAGCCAUGGGAGAGGAUGAUUCUAAAUACUCUGUUCUGUUCAGUGAUUGUCAUGUCUCUCUACACCACCUAUUUAUUUGCACCGCCUCAUGUCUACAUGAUGUUGGAGUGGCUUGACUGGAUGUAGCUGCUCUAGAUGGAGAAUCUCACAACUGCUUUUUAAGUGUAUCACCUGGACUGAAUCCAUUUCAUAGUGUGAUUGGACAAAUCACCACUGCAGUCAGACAUUGUCAAACAUUCCAUUCAUCCACAGUAGAGUGCUUCACCCACCUUUCAUGAUGCGUAAAAUGUCUAAAUUGCCA
Molecule: long non-coding RNA, 569 nt
Organism: Saccoglossus kowalevskii
Lineage: Eukaryota; Metazoa; Hemichordata; Enteropneusta; Harrimaniidae
Source: RefSeq, a predicted model, not a curated record